GACGAACGCUGGCGGCGUGCUUAACACAUGCAAGUCGAACGGAAAGGCCCUGCUUUUGUGGGGUGCUCGAGUGGCGAACGGGUGAGUAACACGUGAGUAACCUGCCCUUGACUUUGGGAUAACUUCAGGAAACUGGGGCUAAUACCGGAUAGGAGCUCCUGCUGCACGGUGGGGGUUGGAAAGUUUCGGCGGUUGGGGAUGGACUCGCGGCUUAUCAGCUUGUUGGUGGGGUAGUGGCUUACCAAGGCUUUGACGGGUAGCCGGCCUGAGAGGGUGACCGGCCACAUUGGGACUGGGGUGCUGCCCAGGCCCCUACGGGCGGCAGCAGUGGGGUAUAUUGCACGCUGGGCGGAAGCCUGAUGCAGCAACGCCGCGUUCGGGAUGACGGCCUUCGGUUUGUACACCGCUUUCGCCUGUGACCAAGCGUGAGUGACGGUAAUGGGUAAAGAAGCACCGGCUAACUACGUG
RNAcentral lists this ribosomal RNA (468 nucleotides) under uncultured bacterium. Its description in RNAcentral is "partial 16S ribosomal RNA". It matches the Rfam family "Bacterial small subunit ribosomal RNA", at positions 28 to 507 of the family's 1533-position model. The record is from RNAcentral.